GCCGAGGUGGCUCAGCCUGGUAGAGCGAUGGACUCAUAAUCCAUAGGUCGUGGGUUCAAAGCCCACCCUCGGCA
This is a transfer RNA of Candidatus Methanomassiliicoccus intestinalis Issoire-Mx1, 74 nucleotides long. It matches the Rfam family "tRNA". From Rfam's summary of the family: Transfer RNA (tRNA) molecules are approximately 80 nucleotides in length. Their secondary structure includes four short double-helical elements and three loops (D, anti-codon, and T loops). Further hydrogen bonds mediate the characteristic L-shaped molecular structure. tRNAs have two regions of fundamental functional importance: the anti-codon, which is responsible for specific mRNA codon recognition, and the 3' end, to which the tRNAs corresponding amino acid is attached (by aminoacyl-tRNA synthetases). tRNAs cope with the degeneracy of the genetic code in two manners: having more than one tRNA (with a specific anti-codon) for a particular amino acid; and 'wobble' base-pairing, i.e. permitting non-standard base-pairing at the 3rd anti-codon position. NCBI's taxonomy places the organism in Archaea, Methanobacteriati, Thermoplasmatota, Thermoplasmata, Methanomassiliicoccales, Methanomassiliicoccaceae. The record is from Rfam.